RNAcentral lists this ribosomal RNA (699 nucleotides) under uncultured soil bacterium. RNAcentral's name for it is "bacterial SSU rRNA". It matches the Rfam family "Bacterial small subunit ribosomal RNA", at positions 28 to 770 of the family's 1533-position model. The record is from RNAcentral.
GACGAACGCUGGCGGCAGGCUUAACACAUGCAAGUCGAACGGCUGUAGCAAUACAGCAGUGGCAGACGGGUGAGUAACACGUGGGAACCUUCCUCGGGGUACGGAACAACUCAGGGAAACUUGAGCUAAUACCGUAUACGUCCGUAAGGAGAAAGAUUCAUCGCCCCGAGACGGGCCCGCGUCGGAUUAGGUAGUUGGUGGGGUAACGGCCUACCAAGCCUACGAUCCGUAGCUGAUCUGAGAGGAUGAUCGGCCACACUGGGACUGAGACACGGCCCAGACUCCUACGGGAGGCAGCAGUGGGGAAUCUUGCACAAUGGGCGAAAGCCUGAUGCAGCAACGCCGCGUGCGGGAAGAAGGCCCUCGGGUUGUAAACCGCUUUCAGAAGGAACGAAACUGACGGUACUUUCAGAAGAAGGUGCGGCCAACUACGUGCCAGCAGCCGCGGUGACACGUAGGCACCAAGCGUUGUCCGGAUUUAUUGGGCGUAAAGAGCUCGUAGGCGGUUCAGUAAGUCGGGUGUGAAAACUUUGGGCUUAACCCAAAGCGUGCAUCCGAUACUGCUGUGACUUGAGUACGGUAGGGGAGCGGGGAAUUCCUAGUGUAGCGGUGAAAUGCGCAGAUAUUAGGAGGAACACCGGUGGCGAAGGCGCCGCUCUGGGCCGAAACUGACGCUGAGGAGCGAAAGCAUGGGUAGCA